Molecule: ribosomal RNA, 1431 nt
Filed under: Microbacterium sp.
Lineage: Bacteria; Bacillati; Actinomycetota; Actinomycetes; Micrococcales; Microbacteriaceae
Description: bacterial SSU rRNA
Rfam family: Bacterial small subunit ribosomal RNA
Source: RNAcentral
GGAAGGUGGGGGGGUGCUUACUUUGCAGUCGAACGGUGAAGCCCAGCUUGCUGGGUGGAUCAGUGGCGAACGGGUGAGUAACACGUGAGCAAUCUGCCCCUGACUCUGGGAUAAGCGCUGGAAACGGCGUCUAAUACUGGAUACGAACCGUGGAGGCAUCUUCAACGGUUGGAAAGAUUUUUUGGUCAGGGAUGAGCUCGCGGCCUAUCAGCUUGUUGGUGAGGUAAUGGCUCACCAAGGCGUCGACGGGUAGCCGGCCUGAGAGGGUGACCGGCCACACUGGGACUGAGACACGGCCCAGACUCCUACGGGAGGCAGCAGUGGGGAAUAUUGCACAAUGGGCGAAAGCCUGAUGCAGCAACGCCGCGUGAGGGAUGACGGCCUUCGGGUUGUAAACCUCUUUUAGCAGGGAAGAAGCGAAAGUGACGGUACCUGCAGAAAAAGCGCCGGCUAACUACGUGCCAGCAGCCGCGGUAAUACGUAGGGCGCAAGCGUUAUCCGGAAUUAUUGGGCGUAAAGAGCUCGUAGGCGGUUUGUCGCGUCUGCUGUGAAAUCCCGAGGCUCAACUUCGGGUCUGCAGUGGGUACGGGCAGACUAGAGUGCGGUAGGGGAGAUUGGAAUUCCUGGUGUAGCGGUGGAAUGCGCAGAUAUCAGGAGGAACACCGAUGGCGAAGGCAGAUCUCUGGGCCGUAACUGACGCUGAGGAGCGAAAGGGUGGGGAGCAAACAGGCUUAGAUACCCUGGUAGUCCACCCCGUAAACGUUGGGAACUAGUUGUGGGGUCCAUUCCACGGAUUCCGUGACGCAGCUAACGCAUUAAGUUCCCCGCCUGGGGAGUACGGCCGCAAGGCUAAAACUCAAAGGAAUUGACGGGGACCCGCACAAGCGGCGGAGCAUGCGGAUUAAUUCGAUGCAACGCGAAGAACCUUACCAAGGCUUGACAUAUACGAGAACGCUGCAGAAAUGUAGAACUCUUUGGACACUCGUAAACAGGUGGUGCAUGGUUGUCGUCAGCUCGUGUCGUGAGAUGUUGGGUUAAGUCCCGCAACGAGCGCAACCCUCGUUCUAUGUUGCCAGCACGUAAUGGUGGGAACUCAUGGGAUACUGCCGGGGUCAACUCGGAGGAAGGUGGGGAUGACGUCAAAUCAUCAUGCCCCUUAUGUCUUGGGCUUCACGCAUGCUACAAUGGCCGGUACAAAGGGCUGCAAUACCGUGAGGUGGAGCGAAUCCCAAAAAGCCGGUCCCAGUUCGGAUUGAGGUCUGCAACUCGACCUCAUGAAGUCGGAGUCGCUAGUAAUCGCAGAUCAGCAACGCUGCGGUGAAUACGUUCCCGGGUCUUGUACACACCGCCCGUCAAGUCAUGAAAGUCGGUAACACCUGAAGCCGGUGGCCCAACCCUUGUGGAGGGAGCCGUCGAAGGUAAUCGGAUAUU